RNAcentral lists this ribosomal RNA (490 nucleotides) under uncultured bacterium. RNAcentral's name for it is "partial 16S ribosomal RNA". It matches the Rfam family "Bacterial small subunit ribosomal RNA", at positions 28 to 507 of the family's 1533-position model. The record is from RNAcentral.
AAUGAACGCUGGCGGCAUGCUUUACACAUGCAAGUCGAACGGCAGCACGACCUAUCUGCCUGGGUCGAGGGCGGGACGCGAACGGGUGAGAUAUGCAUCGGCACAUGCCUGGUUGUGGGGGCUUACGUAGCGGUGGUUAUGCUACUACCGCACAUUCGCUGCGGGGGGGAGCAGGGGAGCCCCGGGCCGCGCGCAAGGACAGCGGCCGAUGUCGGAUUAGCUAGUUGGUGAGGUAAAGGCACACCAAGGCCACGAUCCGUAGCGGGUCUGAGAGGAUGAUCCGCCACACUGGGACUGAGACACGGCCCAGACUCCUACGGGAGGCAGCAGUGGGGAAUUUUGGACAAUGGGCGCAAGCCUGAUCCAGCCAUGCCGCGUGAGUGAAGAAGGCCUUCGGGUUGUAAAGCUCUUUCGGCUGGGAAGAAAUCGCACCCUCUAAUACAGGGUGUGGAUGACGGUACCAGCAUAAGAAGCACCGGCUAACUACGUG